GACGAACGCUGGCGGCGUGCUUAACACAUGCAAGUCGAACGGUGAAGCGCCUUCCUUUUUGGUGGGUGUGGAUGAGUGGCGAACGGGUGAGUAACACGUGAGUAACCUGCCCCCUUCUUCUGGAUAACCGCAUGAAAGUGUGGCUAAUACGGGAUAUUCUGGGUCUGUCGCAUGAUGGGUCUGGGAAAGAUAUUGUUUCGGUGGGGGAUGGGCUCGCGGCCUAUCAGCUUGUUGGUGGGGUGAUGGCCUACCAAGGCGGUGACGGGUAGCCGGCCUGAGAGGGUGGGCGGUCACACUGGGACUGAGACACGGCGCAGACUCCUACGGGAGGCAGCAGUGGGGAAUAUUGCACAAUGGGCGCAAGCCUGAUGCAGCGACGCCGCGUGAGGGAUGGAGGCCUUCGGGUUGUGAACCUCUUUCGCCAGUGAAGCAGGCCUGCCUCGUUUGUGGGUGGGUUGACGGUAGCUGGAUAAGAAGCGCCGGCUAACUACGUG
Molecule: ribosomal RNA, 494 nt
Filed under: uncultured bacterium
Lineage: Bacteria
Description: partial 16S ribosomal RNA
Rfam family: Bacterial small subunit ribosomal RNA
Source: RNAcentral